RNAcentral lists this long non-coding RNA (211 nucleotides) under Lathyrus oleraceus (garden pea). RNAcentral's name for it is "Pisum sativum (pea) long non-coding RNA (PSAT_LNC006060)". Lineage: Eukaryota; Viridiplantae; Streptophyta; Magnoliopsida; Fabales; Fabaceae. The record is from RNAcentral.
UUUUACGCCUAUGGUGUAGAUACUCGGUAGAGCCCAGAGAGCAUUAGAUGUUUCUUAUGUUGGAUGACGGUGUAGUUGACCUUUUUCAUUUAUUAUUUUUGUGUUGUUUAGUUUCUGCGAGUCACUUUGAUAGUGUAACAAUUGGGUUGGGAUACUUGGAUGAUGUUUUGUGCAAAUUGUUGAGUUUAUUUGACUUAUGAUUUUAAUAAAA